GUUGCAUCAGUGCCGGGAGGUUCCUUUCAUUUCAGGUUCUUUUUGAAUUACUCCUAAGGGUUAUAUUGCUCAGGGAUAAGGGUAUGAGUCUUGGUCGUCUUAACCUCUUGAUCUUCACAUCUUUUUACCAGGAAUGCUAGGAAUUGUAGGAACUGGUAAUUAGGGACAAGCUUAUUUACCGAGGGAUCGGGUUUAAGUGAUUUAGUGAGGGACGCUAGCAUUAAUGCAUAAAGAAAAAUUCUUAUAUACAUAAGAGGAAAACUUGGUGAAAUCUAGCCCCAACAACAUGUCCAUCUCAUAUAAAUCAACCUUCUUUCAUCUCUGUGCUCCUUUGCCAUUGAUUAAUUGCAUUUUAUUUUAUUAUUUUUGCCAAACCCAAUGAUAUCUUUUUAUUUUUAAGUCUUAAUUAAUCUUGUUUUCACACAACUGUUCAGUGUUGAGAGUCCUCUGGGAUAAGAUACUUGGUAUUACCAUUUUAUAUUACUUGUGUGACUCGGUACACUUUCCGAUUUGUCCCAACACUCUCCUUGUCAUUAUGCAUAUUUUCACAGCAG
RNAcentral lists this long non-coding RNA (554 nucleotides) under Vigna radiata. Its description in RNAcentral is "long non-coding RNA (VRAD_LNC016883)". The record is from RNAcentral. Lineage: Eukaryota; Viridiplantae; Streptophyta; Magnoliopsida; Fabales; Fabaceae.